UACGUAGGGUGCGAGCGUUAAUCGGAAUUACUGGGCGUAAAGCGUGCGCAGGCGGCUAUGUAAGACAGAUGUGAAAUCCCCGGGCUUAACCUGGGAACUGCAUUUGUGACUGCAUAGCUGGAGUGCGGCAGAGGGGAAUGGAAUUCCGCGUGUAGCAGUGAAAUGCGUAGAUAUGCGGAGGAACACCGAUGGCGAAGGCAGUUCCCUGGGCCUGCACUGACGCUCAUGCACGAAAGCGUGGGGAGCAAACAGG
RNAcentral lists this ribosomal RNA (253 nucleotides) under uncultured bacterium. RNAcentral describes it as "partial 16S ribosomal RNA". It matches the Rfam family "Bacterial small subunit ribosomal RNA", at positions 524 to 776 of the family's 1533-position model. The record is from RNAcentral.